Molecule: unclassified non-coding RNA, 231 nt
Filed under: plant metagenome
Description: partial contains small subunit ribosomal RNA, internal transcribed spacer 1, and 5.8S ribosomal RNA
Source: RNAcentral
UCUCCGUUGGUGAACCAGCGGAGGGAUCAUUACAGAGUUGCAAAACUCCCAAACCAUUGUGAACGUUACCUAUCCCGUUGCUUCGGCGGGCGGCCCGGGCCCCGCGCCCGGCGCCCCCCGGCCCCCCGUGGGCGCCCGCCGGAGAUAAACCAAACCCUUGAAUUGCAUGGCCUCUCUGAGUCUUCUGUACUGAAUAAGUCAAAACUUUCAACAACGGAUCUCUUGGUUCUG